CGAGUUUGAUUAUGACCAAAUCUCAUACGAUUAAUAGUCGUGAUAAAUUGUCUGCUGUCGACGUCUUUAUUGUUGUGGUACCAAGGUUUGGCGGGCAGGCUUCCUUGGAUCUUGGCAUACCAUUUUCCCUUAUCGUUAGCAAUAUUUAUGUAAUAGUUAUUCCAUAAUAAUUUUAGAGCAUUUUUAAGUGAGCUAUAAUAGUCGGUGAAUGAAACUUUAAACAUAUUCGAGUGGUCUUCAUUAUGAACAUUCCGAGCAGCUUGAUCCGCUAUUUCAUUUCCAGCAAUUCCUUUAUGACCAGGUAAAUAACCAGAUAAAAGUUGGUUAAAGUCUACAUAAGGGCCUGGUGUAACUGAUUCAACAACUUUGGGAGACUUUGCCUGGUAUGCCAAUAUCAUCAAGAAUGUGAAUCAUGAUUGAAGGGUCAACAUUAUCAAAUGCACCCUGGAUAUCUAAGAAAGCACAUACUGUAAAGGAAUGGCUAUGGAAAGAAUUUUUUAUAUCUGCAAUUAAAGCAGUAAAACUUUCAGCAGCGCUCCUGCCUUUCCGGAAACCAAAUUGUUGAGAAGGAGGGGACAAUGGAGCAUAUUUUUCAAUAAAUGAUGGUAUCCAUUCAUCAUUUUUUGGGGAUUUAUGUACAGAUUCAGAAUGAAACUUGGACCAAUCUGCUUUAGAAUAAAUAUACUGUUCUGUGGGAAGUCCUGUAUCAUAUUUUUCUAUAGAUGUUUGGAUAUCAAUAAUAGUAGGAUAAUGGUAACUGCCCAUUGGAUCGUCAUGGACUCUCCAUACACAUAAUGGUGCUACAGAUGGACUAAUAACAGAAAUAUCUAUUGCAGACGGUUGAUGAGUAGAAGUACCAACUGUAGUUGGAGAACCUGUGUUUAAUAUGCAUAGAUCAAAUUCAUCACACAUAUUAUAAAUUUCAGUGCCUCUACUGUUAGUAUUGUUACAGCCAAAGGCUACAUGAUGAGCAUUUAGAUCACCUGCCAGCAUUACUGGUUUAGGAAGCCUUUGUAGUAUUUGUUUAAGUUUAUUAACUAUAAAACGGCCUCUACCACUUUUUGGUGGGGGACAAUAUGUACAUAAUAUAGAUAGGUUACCUAAUUGUGUUUUUAAUAUUAUAGCUACAGAUUGCAUAAAGUCAUAAAAAGGUGUGGGAACAAUUGUAUAUUUAAAAUCGUUUUUUAUUAAUAUACCUACACCUCCAUAUCCACCUAUACCAUUUUGACUUACAUAGUUAUAACCAGGCAUGUUAAAGUGGCAAUUCUCUCUUAACCAUGUUUCAUUUAGUAAGCAAAUAUCUAUAUAAUUCUCAUGAAUAUAAUUAAUAAGUAAAGGUUUUUUAUUAUACAUACUUUGUAUAUUGAAUUGAGAUAUUCUAAUAAAU
This is a long non-coding RNA of Achroia grisella, 1387 nucleotides long. RefSeq lists it as uncharacterized. The transcript has 5 exons. NCBI's taxonomy places the organism in Eukaryota, Metazoa, Arthropoda, Insecta, Lepidoptera, Pyralidae. The record is from RefSeq and is a predicted model, not a curated record.